GUCGAGCGAACAGAUAAAGGAGCUUGCUCCUUUGACGUUAGCGGCGGACGGGUGAGUAACACGUGGAUAACCUACCUAUAAGACUGGGAUAACUUCGGGAAACCGGAGCUAAUACCGGAUAAGAUUUUGAACCGCAUGGUUCAAUAGUGAAAGACGGCCUUGCUGUCACUUAUAGAUGGAUCCGCGCCGUAUUAGCUAGUUGGUAAGGUAACGGCUUACCAAGGCAACGAUACGUAGCCGACCUGAGAGGGUGAUCGGCCACACUGGAACUGAGACACGGUCCAGACUCCUACGGGAGGCAGCAGUAGGGAAUCUUCCGCAAUGGGCGAAAGCCUGACGGAGCAACGCCGCGUGAGUGAUGAAGGUCUUCGGAUCGUAAAACUCUGUUAUCAGGGAAGAACAAACGUGUAAGUAACUGUGCACGUCUUGACGGUACCUGAUCAGAAAGCCACGGCUAACUACGUGCCAGCAGCCGCGGUAAUACGUAGGUGGCAAGCGUUAUCCGGAAUUAUUGGGCGUAAAGCGCGCGUAGGCGGUUUUUUAAGUCUGAUGUGAAAGCCCACGGCUCAACCGUGGAGGGUCAUUGGAAACUGGAAAACUUGAGUGCAGAAGAGGAAAGUGGAAUUCCAUGUGUAGCGGUGAAAUGCGUAGA
This 652-nucleotide ribosomal RNA is filed under the name Staphylococcus sp. RNAcentral describes it as "bacterial SSU rRNA". It matches the Rfam family "Bacterial small subunit ribosomal RNA", at positions 61 to 694 of the family's 1533-position model. Lineage: Bacteria; Bacillati; Bacillota; Bacilli; Caryophanales; Staphylococcaceae. The record is from RNAcentral.